Molecule: long non-coding RNA, 746 nt
Organism: Xiphias gladius (swordfish)
Lineage: Eukaryota; Metazoa; Chordata; Actinopteri; Istiophoriformes; Xiphiidae
Exons: 2
Source: RefSeq, a predicted model, not a curated record
GUCGCUGCCGUUAGCAAUUAGCACAGUGUGCCGAACCGGGCUCAGCUUAUAACAGAACGCGGCCAUAACACACGUUAUUAAAUGCACCUGCCAUAACGUGUCAAAAUGUCUGCCGAGAAAAGCGCUCUAUCGAAUCGUUCAAACACAAAGCCGCACGAUGGGACUGCCGGCAGGUGAGCUUGCAUAUAAAAUACUUCAUGUGCAGCAGGGCGGCUAGCCGCAAGUCUGCAAAAAGAAUUACAGCCGAGUUUGUGAAGUGCAACGGCAGGGCCCACAGAGCAAACGGGGCGGUUUGAAUCAAGCUGAAGCGGACUCGGACAGCGCACUCGCCUCCCGUGUCACGCUGUUUCCCGCCGUGCAGACGGGGCUCGGGUCAUUCAUGUCUAGGGUCACCACAGCAACAGUCGCGCUGACGUGUCGCUCGCCGAGGAGCGCGCUCGGCUCUGGAUUGACUAGCCCCGUAUCUGCGUGUGUUUGCGCGUGUGCUAACAAGGUCAGCAGUUCAAAGAGUAUACAUCAACAAACAUUUCCCCCCCGGUGACCGCCUGUUAAUGGCUUCAGUCAAAUAGAACAAAUCAACAUGAUGGUUUUUGUUUUUUUCUCUUUUCCCGCUCACAUACCCAGUCCCCCUUCCUCUGUUUCCAUCUCCCACUCUCCCCUUAAUUUACCCUUCAGCUCUUAAUAGCCACAGAAGCUUAUCUUUGAUGAAAAACACAUGCACUCCUCACAAUAAAAUUAUGAUACCA